This 73-nucleotide transfer RNA is filed under the name Stegodyphus mimosarum. It matches the Rfam family "tRNA". Rfam says of the family: Transfer RNA (tRNA) molecules are approximately 80 nucleotides in length. Their secondary structure includes four short double-helical elements and three loops (D, anti-codon, and T loops). Further hydrogen bonds mediate the characteristic L-shaped molecular structure. tRNAs have two regions of fundamental functional importance: the anti-codon, which is responsible for specific mRNA codon recognition, and the 3' end, to which the tRNAs corresponding amino acid is attached (by aminoacyl-tRNA synthetases). tRNAs cope with the degeneracy of the genetic code in two manners: having more than one tRNA (with a specific anti-codon) for a particular amino acid; and 'wobble' base-pairing, i.e. permitting non-standard base-pairing at the 3rd anti-codon position. Lineage: Eukaryota; Metazoa; Arthropoda; Arachnida; Araneae; Eresidae. The record is from Rfam by way of RNAcentral.
GCUUUCGUGGUGUAAUGGUUAGCACACUGAGCCGGUAUUUCAGAGGUCCGUGGUUCGAUCCCCGGCGAAGGCA